Neofelis nebulosa (Clouded leopard) is the source of this 279-nucleotide long non-coding RNA. RefSeq lists it as uncharacterized. The transcript has 3 exons. The record is from RefSeq and is a predicted model, not a curated record. NCBI's taxonomy places the organism in Eukaryota, Metazoa, Chordata, Mammalia, Carnivora, Felidae.
AGGACAGAGGAAAUGUUGCAAAUGGGUCCUCAGUGGACACCAGCUCUUUUGAAAGUUUCUUUUGCUGAUGUGAGACAUUCACUAAAGGCCAAAUAGUCAAGUUGAAUGGGAAUGUGGUAAGAAUCACCACCUCGGCACCUUUCAAAUCUUUGAUGGUGGCACUCAUCUCUGCAAUCCCUCCAGUAAUGAGAAUGUGGCUAACACAGGACACUGCAGAGCAUGGCUUCAGUCCAGCCUAAGCCUCAGUCUGAACUUCCAGGACCUCCCAUUUGCAUGAAG